GGGAUUAAAACGAAUCCCCUGUUGCUUUUCUCUCAAAAUCUCACAAAUUUUGAGAGGCUACACUAGAGUUUAGAACUGGCAACCAUGUUUGAUUAAAUAAUCCUCAAUUAGGAGAUAAAAUCUGAUGAUUAGAGGUUGAUCUCUAAGGAUGGAGGAAGCACAAAGCGUGCUGAUGACAUAGAGAAAAAUUAUAGGACAGUUCAGAAGAUAUUGAAGUUCCCAAGAGCAUCUCAGGCAUGUCAAAUUGAAUUCUAUUGAGAGUUUGGGAUAGAAUUUGAGGAGAGAGUUGUUUUGGCAUAGAUAGUUAAGUAAAUGCGUAUGACAACCUUGAUGUUUAUCCGGUAUGCUUCAAAUUUUACUAUUCUCAGUGAUUACAUUACCGGAAACUCUAUGUAUGAACCAUCUUAUUUCCUUCGUAUGUGCUGCUGCAUUAAAUUGAAUGUUGCUUAUUUGUGUCAAAAAAAUUCUGUUGCUUGUUACUACAAUCUAAUUACAUCCAAAUUGUAAAUGGUAUGCACAUGAGGGUGGUUAUUGGUCAACACUGGAAAGGUGAAAUUAGGUGCAUGUCACUUGCCCGGCUCAGCUCAGUUCUUGGUUUUUAGCUUUUAAUUUACUGCACUACCUAGUUCCAUACAUGGCUCAAUUGUAGCGCAGGCCCUUGGAGUUUGUUAACUAACUAGGGGUCGAAUAGUAAGGAUGCUUUACAAUUUCUUUUGAGUAUCUAACGCUGGGAACUUGGUGGAUAGUAUUUCUUCUUAAGAGUGUAAAUGAAGUUAGGCCUAAAGGUUUCUUAUCUGUCUCUCAUUCUUUUCAUGAAAUUUCAAGAGAUUAAAUUGCUUGCAGGGAACCAGGGAUUCUAGCAUGAUGUUACCGAUUUGUGCUCAAGAACUACUUCUUGUUGAGUUAUGCUUAGAUACCAAAAGAAUAUGGUGAUUUGAGUCUGGAUUUCUGAACAGUUUACUAGUGGCAUUCGGAUUGCGUUGUGGAGAAGAAGUUUUAAUUCAGUUACAUAUCAAGUGUAGAAUCAUUUUGAUUGCAAUUUUUUUUUUAAUUAUCAAGUAUUUAUAUCAAAAUAUAUUUGUAACUCUUGUAAGAGUAAGAUGGGAAGUUAACACACUGAAUGCCCUUAAGGAAGUAAUAUACUCCCUCCGUCCC
This 1155-nucleotide long non-coding RNA is filed under the name Coffea arabica (coffee). RNAcentral's name for it is "long non-coding RNA (CARA_LNC001782)". The record is from RNAcentral. Lineage: Eukaryota; Viridiplantae; Streptophyta; Magnoliopsida; Gentianales; Rubiaceae.